UGCUUGCAUCCUUCUCCCAGUUCUCAGCUCUGCCUGCGUGUCCAAACAAAAAGAGGCCGUUAGACAGCAAGUCAACGAAGAUGCGAAUGUGGAAGGCCAGACCAAUGGAACUGGAUAGAAUUCUGUCAACAGUGAGGAAGGAAGGAGGAGGCUGUGAUCCAAGGAAUCCUGGAAAGCUGCUCGCUGAAAAACAAUGGAACACCCCCAGGAGGACACAGAUGUACUGACACUCUCAUUUCGACGUGUGUGGCGGGUGCCCUUCUGACUACUGAACUGUAAGCAACCAAAAGUUUUGGAGGCCCUGGAAAGAUGCUGUCUAAAGGUAACGAUAUUAAUGUAAGUCAUAUGAGAGGACAGACGUUUCUUAUCAACAAGGAAGACCUUGGAGUCAUCGCCCACUGAGACAAAUGAUAAGGUGAUGUCUCGCUGAGGUCUCUUUGUGGUAUUCUCCACCCCUGCAACCAACUUCUGGGCCUGCAGGCUGGACAGAGCAGCCAUGGAGUCUGGAUGGAAACCCCCGUGGCCAACAGCCCUUGCUCUCAGUGCUCCUGCAGCAUUAACAGCUCAUUGAUGCCUCCGCAGUUAGCGGCUGUGGCCUCUGGACUGGCUGGAGAAAGGAGGACGGAGUACAAAAUACAGGUUGAUAAUGAAUCAUCACAUCACAGCCCUCCGGGUCACAGUGUUCUGUAGGACUGGCCUCCUUUGGAAUGACAGGACUAAGCUCUUAGCUGUUCAGAGCUUCAUAGAGAAGUUCAAACCUGUUUCUGAAGAUUGCCAACAUCACAU
Long non-coding RNA from Onychomys torridus (southern grasshopper mouse), 786 nucleotides. RefSeq lists it as uncharacterized. Lineage: Eukaryota; Metazoa; Chordata; Mammalia; Rodentia; Cricetidae. The transcript has 5 exons. The record is from RefSeq and is a predicted model, not a curated record.